Long non-coding RNA from Oncorhynchus tshawytscha (Chinook salmon), 1922 nucleotides. Lineage: Eukaryota; Metazoa; Chordata; Actinopteri; Salmoniformes; Salmonidae. The record is from Ensembl.
ACGGAGGACAUCAGGUGGGUGUUGGGUAGAACCACUAGGUCCUGGAGAACAGGUAACAGAGGACAUCAGGUGGGUGUUGGGCAGAGCCCCUAGGUCCUGGAGGACAUCAGGUGGGUGUUGGGCAGAGCCCCUAGGUCCUGGAGGACAUCAGGUGGGUGUUGGGCAGAGCCCCUAGGUCCUGGAGGACAUCAGGUGGGUGUUGGGCAGAGCCCCUAGGUCCUGGAGGACAUCAGGUGGGUGUUGGGCAGAGCCCCUAGGUCCUGGAGAACAGGUAACGGAGGACAUCAGGUGGGUGUUGGGCAGAACCCCUAGGUCCUGGAGAACAGGACAUCAGGGGUGGGUGUUGGGCAGAACCCCUAGGUCCUGGAGAACAUCAGGUGGGUGUUGGGCAGAACCCCUAGGUCCUGGAGAACAGGUAAUGGAGGACAUCAGGUGGGUGUUGGGCAGAACCCCUAGGUCCUGGAGAACAGGUAACGGAGGACAUCGGUGGAUCUGGGUGUUGGGUUGAACCCCCUAGGUCCUGGAGAACAUCAGUUGGGUUUGGGUGUUGGGCAGAACCCCCUAGGUCCUGGAGAACAUCAGUUGGGUCUGGGUGUUGGGUUGAACCCCCUAGGUCCUGGAGAACAUCAGUUGGGUCUGGGUGUUGGGCAGAACCCCCUAGGUCCUGGAGAACAUCAGGUGGGUGUUGGGCAGAACCCCCUAGGUCCUGGAGAACAGGUAAUGGAGGACAUCAGGUGGGUGUUGGGCAGAACCCCUAGGUCCUGGAGAACAGGUAACGGAGGACAUCGGUGGAUCUGGGUGUUGGGUUGAACCCCCUAGGUCCUGGAGAACAUCAGUUGGGUUUGGGUGUUGGGCAGAACCCCCUAGGUCCUGGAGAACAUCAGUUGGGUCUGGGUGUUGGGUUGAACCCCCUAGGUCCUGGAGAACAUCAGUUGGGUCUGGGUGUUGGGCAGAACCCCUAGGUCCUGGAGAUCAAGAGCAGAGUUAGAGGUUAGGAGACAGACGUCAACAAGCAAACACACAGUUUACACUUUACUGGGAGAACAUUUUGAUGGAUUAGUGCAGUGUUAUAAAUGGGAGAUAUUUACUUUUCAACACUUGGAUGGUACAGCCUACCUCAAGCUGGUCCCCCUCUGACUCCGAGCACAGAUAAUCAGACUGAUCUGAACUCACUGGUUCUGGUGGAUGGGAUACUUCCUAGGGAGCUCAGACAGUUAAUGGUCCUCAAGUCAUUUGGAGGUAAAUUGAGGGACAUUUUUUUAAGCUCAGCAUAACUACCAUUUCUUUCUUUCUCAAAUGUCAACCAAAGCUUAACACACUAUCUAUUGGGCUUCACUGAAGUGUAGGGCAUCAGGGCUUUCAGUGGUCGACCGUCCAACUCCAGCAUGUAAAUCCUGGUGGGGCAUAGGAGGGGGACAGUUUUUAGAUGCAUGCCAGCAAAGCCGAUGCACAACACUAAACAAUACAUUAAUUGCACUAUAAUGUUGACAAGGGGGGGCCACAAACUGUUAGGGACUAUAUCAAUCUGUCCCAAAACCUUACCACUGCUACACCUGACUAUCAGCGGAGCCUUGUCUGGCAGCGAAACGGUUCAUUCAUCCUGUUGGAUUCGUGGUAAACUUUGAACAUUGAGAUAUUAAAGACAUGAUAGAUCAGACGCAUAGUGUAUAAAAAGAGACUGGGUUUAUGCCAGAAGGUAAUGGGUCUCCGUAGAAAGACCGAUGGCUUUGGAAUGUGUUGGGUGGAUGGGAGGAGAUCACAGGAUUGCUAUAAGGGAAGCGGAUGGACAUCUGUGGAUUAGGCGAAGGAGGGGUUGAGGUCAAGAGGUCAGAUCACCUGAAGGGAGUAAUAAGGGUUUAGUAUCCCAUUUCCCUCAUCCUGUGGAACCAUAAGAUGUAAGGAUUGGAGAGAAGGAGUGUCCA